GGCCAGGUCGUGUAGUUGGUAACACGCUUGCUAUAUAUGCAGAAGCACUGGGUUCAAUUCCCAGUCUGGCCA
Molecule: non-coding RNA, 72 nt
Organism: Hysterangium stoloniferum
Lineage: Eukaryota; Fungi; Basidiomycota; Agaricomycetes; Hysterangiales; Hysterangiaceae
Source: the annotation of a GenBank genome assembly